RNAcentral lists this unclassified non-coding RNA (343 nucleotides) under soil metagenome. Its description in RNAcentral is "partial contains 5.8S ribosomal RNA, internal transcribed spacer 2, and large subunit ribosomal RNA". The stretch from base 1 to 120 matches the Rfam family "5.8S ribosomal RNA", at positions 35 to 154 of the family's 154-position model. The record is from RNAcentral.
GAUGAAGAACGUAGCGAAAUGCGAUAAGUAAUGUGAAUUGCAGAAUUCAGUGAAUCAUCGAAUCUUUGAACGCACAUUGCGCCCUCUGGUAUUCCUCAGGGCAUGCCUGUUCGAGCGUCAUCUAACCCCUCAAGCAGCGCUUGGUGUUGGGCGCUUGUCCCCCCCCCCGCUCGGGCGGGGACUCGCCUCGAAAACAUUGGCGGCCCGUGUAUUGGCUUCGAGCGCAGCACAAUUGCCCUCGUCCCCUCUCCGCGCGGGCGCUCCAGCAAGCGACACACCCACGUUUUGACCUCGGAUCAGGUAGGGAUACCCGCUGAACUUAAGCAUAUCAAUAAGCGGAGGA